GCAGUGAGGGCGGGAAGGCGGGAGCGGCGCUCAGGCGGCGUCCCUCAGCGCGGGGCUGAGGCGUUACGGCCGCACCUCGGGGCCCGGCCCGGCCCCGCUGCGGCGAACAGGCUGAUAUUUCGGCCUUACUGAAGAGAAGGAUCUUUUCAGCCGCAGUACAAAGCGUUCCCUUCAAUUAAGUUAAUUGCAGUCCCUACGUUCGCUGGGCCGGACCAUGCCCCAUCCCACCCCCCUUCCCUCAGCGCUGCGCAUGGCAUCCAGCUAACGGCCCAAUGGAUGGAGGAAUGGGGCAAAAAUAAAGGAUGGUGGAAAAGCCUCACUCAGGAAGGGGCCAGAAGAGGUAGAGGCCGCACUGCUCGGGUUUGGCUGUGCGUUGUUACAGCAGAUGGACAGAGCCACAUUUUGGGAAGCAGGCACGGCCCAGAGCGAAUACGAAUCACAAUUCAUCACCACAGAGCCACGAAGAUUGGAAAAGCACUCCCAGAUCCCCUCCAUGCCCACUGAGCGCGUCCCUCAGUGCCACAUCCCUACAGCUCUGAGUGCGGGGACUCCACGCAGCCCUGAGGGCCGAGCGAUCUGCGCUUCGGCAGAACAGCAGCACGGAACCUUCCAGAAACAGAAACCUGCAGCCUCCCACCUCCUUCGCUGCCCCCUGCAGAAGUGCUGUCUCUAAUUGCUGACCCGCUGUUGCCCUCUGGUCUUUUUCAACCACGUACACUAGGGGGGAAUAAGACGUCGUCAGAAUAAUUCCCGUGUUUUCCUUCAGCGACUUAUUAGCAUAGCAAAUCACUGCCUCUGCGUUACAGCGCCGCGAACAUAAUAGUUCCACCUACGGGAAAAUAUUCUCAGCACUGAUGUCAGCUGCUUUAUAUAUGUCGCCGUAUCGUUACAAAGGAAACUGAUCUGAGGCCGCAGGUUUGUGGACGACAAGGAGGUGUGAUGUUCCCAUACAAAGCUGAGGAGACAAAGUGAACAAGGCAAUGGCUGGAGAGCAGCUCUGAACAGGAACACAGAAAUGUCUGAACACUUAGCUAUGUGAGCCCAAUACUGACUGGUGCUGGGCACCCCAAGGCAUUUAAAAGUAGACACAUGGGGUCCACUUUCUGCACUGUCCUCUUCAACAGGGGCCAAAAGUGGAUGCUUCAGCAUGGGCACAUGGAGUGGUUCCCCCAGGUCUUAGGGCAGUCUGCAACGUUUCUGGCUGUAGGACCUCUUGAAGCAGAUGUGAUUCCAAUCUAUUUAUGCUGCGUGCGCAGGCUCUGUACAGUGCAUUAAACUCAGCUGGGUGCCCUCCAAGUAGGAACCCACUGCUCCAAGUCAGUGCUUAGGUUUGAAAUCCCCACGGACUGAACAGAAAGCAUCUUUGCUUGCCACCCCAACAGCCUCUUCUGCAUUCUGCAAGGAGCCAGACCCAUUGGAACACACAAGGUUUGUUCUGAAAAUGCCUUUGGGACACACAGGCACGCUUGGUUCCUGCAUCCCAGCUGUUCAGGCUUUAUGUACAGCACCAACCCGCCCAGACCUGCAGGGCUGCAGAAGCACAACAGCAGGUAUUUGAAGACUAUCAACACAAAUACCCAUAGCGCUUAAAGCUUCAAGGACGGACUCAGGGAUGGAGGGAGUUUUCAGGGUCACCAUUCUGGAUUUUGCUCCAGGAAUCUGGUCCAAGUUCCACACCUUACACCUCUGGCCCCUUAGCUUGACAACCACUGAUUUAGAAAUCUUGCUGAAAUGGGGAGCUAAAAAAAGGACAUCAAGCCUCAAUCAACUCCUUAUGUUUUGUGUGGUCUUUGCAGCAAACUGAUGUGAAGUUUACACAACAGCAAAGAAAAAUAAAAUGGCUGUAAUAAACAAGAUCUUGUCUCUUAAACAGCCAGAAUGCCUAUGGUAAGAUAUUAAAACACUCGGUCUCUUAAGUCAGAUACCAUCAGAUAAACUUCCAGAUGGAUGCUAUUCAGUGUGACCAUAUAAAAAUAAACAUUGCUUACAAUAUUUGUUACCUAAGAAAUCGAUGCCUAUGGAGAAAACAUUUUAGAGUAAUGCUCUGGAUGUGAGAGGCUGAUUUUCUUCACACUGCAGCAGUGUGACAGAACAGCGGUUCCACCAUCCCUUCACUAAUGAACGGCAUGUCUAUUUGUGCAGCCUGGGGAGUGUUCAAAUAGAUUUGGGGUUGGUUUCUUUUGCAGAAGGAAAGGGAGAUUUUUGUUUUGCCGGCUGUUCAAUUUUCAUUUUUGCAAUUUUUGGCAAGAGCACCUUGACCUGUGGGUAACCGACUGCAUUUUGUCUAAAAGGGAAUAAAUACGUGCUUUGUGAUCCUUCUUCUGCCAUCAGCAUUGCAUUUGGACACCAGCAUUACCCUCCAUCUGAGCAACAGCUGACACAGGGACUUGCAAACACAACUUCAGAGGAGGAAGGAGAACCAGGGUGAGUAAAAGCAGCUUCAUUUCCUGCACACACCUGCUCAGGGGCGCAAUGGGCAGACAACGCAGAACCAACUCCAAAGGGGAACCUCGGAGAUUCUGUUUAACAGCAAACACCCAUUAGCAAAAGAAUAAUAGUGUACGGCAAAUCCUAACUGUAAGUUUGGAAGAGAGGAUGUAUUUAUGCAGAUCAUAAUUCGGCAACAAUGCCAAGCUCAACGUUUUCCACUUGAGAAGCACUAAAGGAGCUUUAAUGGUUGCAUGCGAUCAAGAUAACAUCUUGAGUGAAAUAACGCAGCUCUGGCACACCGGGGUACAGCUAUCAGAGUGCAAACAGCACUCACGUAAAGAAAGAAAAGUCAUUAUCACACCUCCCGAUUUGUUCACGUUACAGAGUUGGUGUGUUCUCUGCAGACAGAAGGUACUGCAUUUGUGUGUGCCCAAACAGAACAGCAGUUUCUGGCUUUUCCCCGCUCAGUCACACCAUGACCAACUUAACUCUGUCCUUAAGAGCUAACAACUGCUGAUGGCAAUCAAGUGAAUGUUCAUUUGUGGUAGGAGCAGCGUUACACAACCGCCUGCAGUUUUGCUACAAGCUAUUUGUGGGACACCUUCUGUGGCGACUGUACCCUGAGAGCAGCUCCACUUCCAAUUGGUAUGUGUCCAUCAGCUGGAACCUCCCACACCCCCAUCCUUUGUAUUUCUGGCCCAGCAUUCUGGAAAGCUGUUCACUACGACCAGUUUUUGCUGUGAUGGUCUGCACGUGCAAACAUGACAUCAAUUGGCUGACCAAUGAGAACAGCCGGAAAACUUUGAGAAGCUUUCUAUUUUUUUAAUACUCUUCUACAGAGUCCAGACAAAGAUUGCUGCUAUAGGGGCUGCAUGCCCCAUAAUUAGUCUUGUGGUUCUAAUUAGCCCAAUCGGUUUAAGAAGACACUUCUGCUAAUAAGUACUGCCCAGGAAAAAGACGACUAAUUAUGGUGCUAUUCUCUGCCUGUCCCACUUAUUCCUAUUCUCUUCUCCACUGAGGGGAGCAAUUUGGUGUGCUAAAACAAAACGAAAGGAGACAACAACCUUCAUGCAUGCCUAAGAUCAACAGGAAGGCAAGGAAUUACUUGUUCUCCAUCACUGAUGUGAACAGGACAAGAGGUACCAGGAAUAAAACUCGGCAAUGAUGAUUCUGAUUGGAAAUUAGGAGUAAUUUUCUAAUGGCACAGAUGGUUAAGCAUUGAAAUAGACUUUGUGUCAACGCCGGGAUAUCCUAUGCACAGAGACAGUAAGUGUUAGCCAUAAAAUAGGUAAAUUUGAGCCUGAUUUGGGCACUGCAGUCACGGCUUGGAUUCCUUGGGCAAUCUGCAGCAGCCUGUGAGGGCAGAUGCAACGUGUGGACAGAAGCAGUGGUGCUGGCAGAUACAAAUCCUGCUGCAGAUCAUUAUUUUCCAGAUUAGCGCAGUUUAAGCUUUUUCAGGUAGGUAAAAAUUAUUAACUCUAGCAAUUUCUCCCAGAGGACAACAAACCUUAUCAGGAAAGCACUGAACUCAGAACACCACAAAGCUGAUGCACAGAGUUCUGCUGAGCAGGCACUCAUAGGGCGCUGCCACCCUUUGCAGCCCACACCUGCAGGACCUUCAGGGAAGCCAGACAGCACUCCUUCACCAUCAGACCUUGGAACAAUACUGAUUCUAAAGCAGCAAUCAAUAUUUUGCAAGCCAACAAAAUAAUAAGGCUAUUUAUUUAAAGCAUAACUGUCGGCGGUUUGAUAAAUUGAUCUCACGUGCUGUAUCGUAAAGAGUACAGCUUUAGUCAAAGUCAUUCUUAGGAAAGGAAAAAGCUUUGGUUCACUCUUUGUUUCUGUCAAAUACACUGUAACCCAGCGGUGAUGGAAAAAUGGGUAUUUAGCAAAACUGCUGUAAGAGUCCCACACACUCCAUUAACCCAUCCCAGCAUUAACAGAACAAGUCAGAUUCUUCUCCAGCAUGUCACGUCUCCUGUUCAACUCAUACAAUCAAUCAAGAUAGAUUUUUUUAUUGCUCGCCUACCCCAAAAUCCGAAGUGCUAUAUGAGAGUGUUGGUCUGAGUGGUUACUUUGUUAAGCGAGCACUGGUGAAGAGGAAACAGCACAGUAACUCUUUCCAGAUCUAACACAGUGAAGCACUUCCUCCUCUGUCUCUCUGGUUAUCCUACGCCCCAUCAGCCCCACUGGUCCCAGCAGCCCUCGAUGUGCAGAAGGCUGACCCUCAGCGGUUGGUUUAGGUGGAGCUGAUGCCUCAGCACUAGGAAGCACUCAGCUCUGCAAACUUCUGAGAUCCCUCAGCUUCCACAGAGAUGAAUGACGAUGGCAGAAACCACCACAUUUGGCAAAACGGCAUCUCACAGCACGAGGCCUGGAAGUGCCUCCUGUCCAGUAGCAGCGUCAAGUCAGACUGUCACAGAGUGAAGAGCGUGCCUCCAGCCCAGGGCAGACACAACAGCUGUUGAAUUUGUUUGCAGUAACACUGUAAAAGCAUGAUUCCCAUCCCCAGUAGGAUAUCUCCUGACUCCGAAAUGCUAUCCCAAGAGGGCAUCAUUAUCGCAAACCGCAGCAAUGCUCCAAACCCUUUUUUCAUGACAUUCCUAAACUGUUUGCUCCGCCCUGAUUCAUUUCAGGAAACUGAUAAGGCAGCUGUGAAAAUACACCGUGCAAAGCACACUCAUAUUACAAACCAGCUGGCAGAAUCUGCACUUUCUGUUAUCCCAGGGGAGUCAAGAUUGUUGUUUAUUCAAUUUUCCAAAAGGCACACGAACUAAAACGCAACCUUCUCUUAAUGAACCCAACUGGUUUUGGGAAGUAGGUGUGUACUGACAGAACAUUUUGGCUUGCAAUGAUCAGUAAAGCAGCCGCCUCUGAAACAUGUGUGGGCCACACUCAAAGGAUUUUCUUAUUAUGAAAGGGGGUGUGGGUCUCUCAUUUCAGGAAAAUGAUCAUAAUUUUCUCUAUUCCUAUUCAGUGUCUCCUGUAAGCAUUGCUGCCUUUCUCACAACAGCUUCCCAAGCAAGGUGACAGGUCACAGGAUCUGCCAGGCCCGGUGCAGUCCUCACGGUGCUUCCAUGGGAAUGCUGGUUCAGCCUCCUGUGGGAGCAUUAAGCCAGAAGGGAAAAAAUGGGUGCUCUGCUUCUUAUUAAUUACACUUAAUGGCAUUUUUUUCCUCAGAAUUGUGUAUCUAUCUUAAUGGCAAAAAAAAAAAAAAAAAAAAAAAAAAAGCCUGAAACGUAGCUUACUGAGCCUAUUUCUCCAUGUUUUAUUGAUAUGUCCUUCCUGCAGACCUUCCCAACUGCUCUGUUAUUCUCCUGAACCUUCUUUCUGACGCUGUUGUGAGCCACUGCUAUGUGCCACCAGGCUGGUGUUGUUUUACACCCUGGAGGUGGCUGCAGUUCAGUGACAGAUCUCUCUGCUAGCAACGUUAGCACUCUGGCAGCACUGGAAUCCAGAUCUUCAGGACUAAUGACACCGUAGAGGUACUUGAGGUGAAUUUACAUAGUGAAAAAUGAUGCUUUGAUCUGCAGUUCCUUUUUAACACUUUCCUUACUUCAGUUGAUCCCUGUUGCCAUUGCAGCCCUUGCCUCUUUCUUGUACACUGGUCUUUUGCACUGGCAGUUAACAGAAGCCCACACAUAAGAAAGUCAUUUCCUCCUCCUAUUCCAGAGGCACUGUCUGCAGACUAGACCUACACUGAGAAACAAAGGUUGAUAAUGGACUUAUACUUAACGAGGCAAUACUGGAGAGCUACAGAUUGCUCCUGCUGCCACUGGAUUCCCUCCAUGCAAGCUCAUGGCAAAGGAGCCCAGCAAUACCUCCGAGCUAUCCAUGCAGGGAGGGGCAGGAUGGGAAGGGCUCUCUGCCACCACCUGCAGGCCCCUCCACCACUUCAGCCAGAAGUUUAGGGGCUCUUCACUGGAAGAGAUCUAAUGGAGAUGCUCUGCUGGUUCAUCCCUAUGAAGAACUCCCAUUCCAUUUGGGAACACUACUGCUUUCCCCAGCAUCCCACCCUAGUUGCUUCCAAAACUACCAAGGCUAUACCUGACCAGAAGCAAUGGCAGGUGGCCAUGUGGCUUGUGCCUCUCUAAAGCUUCCCUGUGCGUUUCUGCUCUCCAAGAGGGUGAUCUGACAGAACAAACCAGCUGUUCCCCAAGUGCUCCAUGACAGGCUGGAGCCUGGAUAGUUCAGAGCAGCACCUGAACUCUACAACUCGUGCCUAUAGCUUUGCCAAGCAAUUUCCUCCAUUAUGAAGCUUUGUUGUGUAACAACAGAUACUUUGCAGUUAUUAUUUUUUUAAGGUAAGCCAUAUUUGAGCUGAAUCAAAAAUAAGCAAGAGCUAAAAUAUCUGCAGUGCUGGGGCUAUGCCAAACACCCACAUAUCCUGUACCCUGUACUCAAGUCUUGUCAAGUAGCUCAGCACAUCUUUGUUCUCAUCAUUUACUUUCAUUUUAUGCCUAACUGAGAAGUGUCCUGAUUAACCAAGCAAAACACUGCAAGGAAAGCACAGGGAACGUUUGGUCAGCUUUGGGAGCUCUGUGCUGCUCCAACGUCCACAACUCUCUUGCUGAGAUAUUUAGGCAUACGUACAAUUGUACAUAGAGCUCCUAACUCUUAUUCCUUGACGUUUUUUACAGAAGUAAACAGAUAAGUAAACAGAAUGGUGGCAAGAUCUGUUGGGGGUCAUGGAACAACUAGUAUAGCUGGGAAAGGCAAUGAUAAACAACAACUUCUGUUAAGACAACUCAGCCCAAGCUUUCCAACCUGUGGUCAUUUGCUACAGUCCCUGCAGCCCAUGGACACCUAGGUAGUGCAGAACAAAGCAAGUGCUGCCCUUUCACACAGACAAGGGUUAUGUUACACAGCAUUAGGUUGCAUGUCAAAACACUCAUCUCCAUACACAGAUGAAGGAGCAAAGAGGAAAAUGAGCAACUUCAGUGACCUAACCAGAGAAACAAAGCACCCAGAGCUGCCCCUCCCAGGUACCGACUGGAUGUGGGAAGGGGGAGCAGCAGCCUUGGCUAUUGUGCUGCUGGAUUUUCUAUCCUACAGCAGGUGGUACCCUGUAUACAGGAGUCUAUGCAGCAGUCUACAGACAUGGCAUUUUCCAAAGGACUAGCACAAUCACCAAACAUUCUGGGAGAGCACCAGAAAUUAUGGGAAGCUGAAAAAUCACUGUUCUAAUCAGAGCGUGUGUAGUGAGCGUGGACAUUUUGUUUAAUGAAAUAAGGACUUUGGGAAAUUGAAGCAAAAGAAAGUGUUUGUAUGUGAUGAGGUGAAGUGAGAUGAAGUGACUACAUAUAAGAAAUGAAUGAUCCACCAUCAGUUUGAGCACUGGUGAUGCAAGCUAUUUUCAAGCUCUUACAUACAAAACAAUAAGAGAAUAUUUUUCCUCUGCCUUUUGCAGAAUAAGACACUUCCCUUCACUAGCUUGUGUGUGAAGUGAGAAUGAACAGCAUUUCUUCAUCUGAAGCUCAGCAGACAAGGAACACCCCUAACGAGUUUGUUCUAGUCAGAAUCAGGAAAGGCAGUAACAAAACAGCCUGUUUUUCCAGUACUUUCACUUUCCACACACCCUGAAUUACAUUCACUUUUAUGGGAGAUGGAGACCAUUCACACCCUUUGUAAAAUGAACAGCAGCAGCCAAGCAAGUGGUAUGGAGGGUAGGAGGACUGCCUGCUUGGUUACACAGCACUCACUUUCAGGAUGCACUGGGAACACUGACUGCAGCAGAACCACGAGCACCACAAGAGCUGUAGCAGCUCAAAGGCUGAGGCUGGAGCCAGGGGAAAGAACCCAAAGGAAUGUUCAGCAAGAACAUUCUGAACUGCCCUUGUCAGGGAAACAUCAAGGCCUUGUGUUACUCCACAGCAGCAGGUGGGUGACAAGGGUCCCCAUGACGUGGUGAUGAGUCCUUACAUCCAGGGCUCUGAGAUUACACAUCUCCAUUGUAGUACUGAUGCUGUACGGACAGUCUGUCUCUGCAGUACCCCCUAGGCUGCCUGCCCUCAGACCAUAAGCUCCAGGAGAGGCAGCUUCUGUUCUAACGCUGAGUCCACAAUUGACUUUUUAAAUGAACCCAAGUCUGCACUAAUAAACCUGCAAAAGAGUGUGAGCUGGGAGGCAAAGUAACCUUGUAGUCCAUGUUUUGUAAUGAGAGCUUCAGGAUUUGUGUCCUGAAAACGUUUGGGUGCAGAAGAUUAAAAGUUAAAUCAAAGGUGAGAAAUGUUAACUGGAAGAGGAAAAAAAAAACCAAAAAACAAUUACCAAAUCAAGCAUUCCAAGUUUAAAAUUACAGUACUCCUGGAAGGAAGAAGCCUGAAACAGCACUUAGGAAUUCAGUUGUGAGCAGGAAGUAGAACAGUGCUGAACAGCACAAGCUGUGAUGUCAGCAUACUCCAGCAGAGGAGCAUCUCCAUUUGUGCUUUGCCCCUUACAUCUGGAUAAUAAAUAGAGACCUGCUGUAACUCAGUGAGAUGAUUUGAUCAAGGCUGGAUAAUCAGAACAGAGAAAUUAAGCAAAGGUAAAAUAAAAAGUAAAAAUAAAAAUAAAGCCUCCGAGUCGCUCAUCAGUCAUUGGUUGAGGCAGCAGGACAUGUUUGUUUUGUUGUUAGGGGAGCAAUGAGGCUGUGGCUGGAGGGACAGAGAGCCCAAGCUGGAUGCAUGGGAGAGGAGAGGUUCCCUGAGAGGCUCCCAGGGCCGGCUUUGAUGGAGUUCAAAGUGUUUUCUCUUUAACUAUUCAUCUUUUGAGAGUAAGAUGGAAUUCUUUCACUCUGAGGAAAAGGGACUGCCUGAACUAAUGGGAAAAAGGGACUACAUGAAGUAAUAGCAGGGCUACCAGGACUUCUGGAACAGUACGUGCUGCAGCCUCAAGCAAAACAGAAAAAAACAAGGGCGUCUGAAAGUUUACAACUUAGAUGUAUUUCUUGUAUAGCAAAAAGAUACACAUACAAGUUUUAAUCUCAGCUUCCAAAGGUGUCCUUAACACAUGCCUGCAGUACUCCAAUGAUUAUCCCUUACCUUAUACUUUGCUGCAGAUUGCUUCUGGAGCCGUGUGUAAGCGUUCGAUGCGCUCAGUGGGAGUGGCUGCUGAACGUCUUCCAGGAGAGCCAUUAAAGAUCCUUCCUGGCUGCCUUCAAUCCAUGCUGCGAGCCCCAGCUAGGAAAUCUGUGAAUACAAACGUAAAGAUACCUAAGCAAGGCCAAGAGGAAUACAUUCUUUCAAUGUGGAGCCCGCGAGGAAGGACAGCACAACAGCAGCAAACGGCUGAGCACACUGACAUCGUUAAUUCCAGCAAUCCAUCUGAUGUUCACCCAUAGAAAUUAUAUUUAUGACACUCAAGAAGCUGUUAAAAAAAAAAAAAAAGAAAGAAAGCAGAAAGCCCAGCACCAAGGAAACUAUGUGCAAAUGGCAGCAUUUGAGAAUGAUCUCAUUUUAAAAGAUUUAGUGCAGCAAAAUAUGUAACUGGGAAUGAAAGGGGAAAAAAAAGAAAGAGAAAUGUCUUAAGACGAGUGUUUGAGGAAUACAUCACAGGUUUUGCCAAGAAUUAUUCACAUACAUCUGCACAAUCCCCCUCCAUCUAUUUUUACUUUUCUGUGGGCCAAUACAGAGAGCUGCGUAUUGUCAAUCCUAAAAAUAAGAGUUUGAGCUUUAAAAAGCAUUUCUAACGCAGUAUGGGAAAGAAUGAUAAUGUUCAAAUUAACCUUUCUCAUAGGCUAUGCUGCCUCAGCCACGGUAGGCAGAGGGCAGAGCAUAACCUCUUCCUCGCCCUCCAACAGGAACAAGAAAACAUGCCAGACAAAGGCUGGAGGACCAUAAGCAGAGAACGCAGCACAUUCCUCCUGCUCUGCACCCUGGGAUUUGCAUCAUAGAGAAGCUGCCCUACCCACAGCAUGUGUGCCUUCCCAGAGCUCACACCAUGUAUGCCCACGGUCCCUGUCAGCCGCCAAAGCCAAAGCCGAGACCUUGGUGCUGUUCCAACAAAUAGUACAGCUCCCUUGGCUUCAAAGGCCAUUUCACACCAUAAAUUCCAGAGUCAUUGGAGAACCAUCCAUCUGCUUCAUCGUUGGCCCCUGUGCUUGGUGCCUGUCAGUGCUACCUUCCCUGCAUACCUGUUAGUGCACUUGCUCUAGUUCCUUAGGUCAUCAGCUUUCAGAACACUUCCUGUACAGCAGGUAUGGCUACUCUAAUGACCAACCUCUAAAGAAGCUUCAUAACAACUAAACAAGACAUUUUUUUUUUUUUCCUCUCUGGGCAAAUUGCACGUGUUAGAGACAUCUCUCUAACCUUCUCAAACACACAUUUACAGCUGCCCAUAAAACCCCCAUGGUAACUGCCAUGGAGGAGGGGCAGAGAUGACAUGGGCUGAGGACAGGCACUAAGGGCAGUGUGUGUUCUGCCUUUGCCACAAAAUAAGGCAACACACUGCAGCCCACUCCUCAUCCCUCCCUCCCAGCCAUGCAAGCCAUGGCCUAAUUGUUCUGCAUAGACACUGAGUCUUCUGUAUUCCUUUCAAACAAAGAAGAAGUCCAUCACCUGACAAAUACCAGUGCUACAGUCCCGAAUUCCCCUCAUUUAUGGAACUGGAGUAUUAUCAGUAUUGAUAAAACCGCUCUGCAGUGGAUGCCAUGAGAUCAGUCAUUUGCUCAGCAAACACUACUACCAGCACAGCCUGUGCAUGCUGCCCCUGCUGCCACUUCCCAUGGCUUCUUCAGCUUGCUGCAGUGUCACCUAUAGGUGAAGGUGGAGCAGAUGAGCCCUCAGAAGUUGGGGCUGGCCACCAACAGCAGCCAGAGCUCCCACAGCGCUCCACAGCUGGUUAUAACGCAAGCAUAAUUUUAGCAGCAAUCCCUUUUGUUUUCCUCUCUAUUCAGAAAACAAAUGCAAAACCUUCUGGGGAAUACUCCAAACUGACUUUGCAUGACCACGAGCCAUACAUUAACUUCAUGAGCAAAAAGAGAACCGCAAGCAAUAGCGUCUGGAGCACAAAGCUGAGCAGAUGAGCAUUGCUGAGCUUUGGGGACAGCUGCUGAGGGUCAGAGCUGUCAAUCUGUAAAGUAAUUUUGGCCUUGCAGUGAACGAUUUUAUCCACGUGCAGUGAAGGUCCUCCCCUUCUCCCUGUUUCCAGCCGGCCCUCCGGAUGCUAUUCUUGCUAAGUGCUCAUGACAAAUGCGUUCAGUACUGUAAAAAAGCCAAAGGUUCUUUACACCAAUAAUUGAGCCACGUCUGCUGCAGCUCCAUUGCCAACAUCGCAGCUCCACUGCUGGGCCUUGUGACAGCACAGUGCAAACACACAACUGCAGGCAAACAAGUGAAACACAAAAUGAAAAGAUAACAGCUGGAAAGCAUGAGCCCAGUGCAUUGUUCCCUCAGCUCUAUGCAAUUAGCCAGCUGUGUGCUGGCUGCUUAUGAUUCUUGUAAGGAGCACAGCAGUGUUUUACAUGUUCUAGGCAUUACCUUGGUGUAAACACCUAUGCAGCAGGCAGUGCAAAGAAAAUGGGGCCCACAGCGAGGAUAGCUCAGGCAGAAGUGAGGAAUAAAACAAAACAGGAGCCUCAGUUCCCUCUUUACCUAAGGCUUAAAUCCUUGGCUUUGCAACCCUCAUGCAUUUUUGACCGUUUUAAUGUCAUUUCCUACAGUCUUCAUUUGUUCUUUUGGGGAAAUGGGAAAAGCAAUUUUUCUUUCCUUUAUGCUUCAGCACUGCCAGAAGAAUGGAAGACGUCCAAAAACUUUGACAAAAGUAUCUUUUUUCUAUUAGGAAAAUAAGCUUUUCUUUCACUUCAGAUGGACACGGAGAAAGAUGGCUUCCAAACACGAUCCAAGCACGCUCACUUUGCAGAGUGAGCUUUCCCUCAUGACGUACUCAUGCUUCACUACCGUUUCCCAAACUCUUCCACUUGGAAGGCAGUACAGAUGUGUGGGAAACACUGUCAAGCUCUGGAACAUUUUCCAAAUGAAAAUAACUUUCAGUUUUGGCAGUGACACUUCCAGUACUUACCAGGUGUUACGUGCUCAAUGAAUUAUUCUAAACAGUGACAGCACGACCCUGAGGCUCUUUUUAGGCUAUUUAAAAGUGGGUUCAAAAUCUCAGGUUGCUGCUCCAAAGAAGACUUCUGGAGCUCUUGGAGGCCAACAGCCACAUCUCCAGUACAGAGAAGAGAAGACUUCACCCCGCGGGAUCUUCACAGCCUUCCAGAAAUGCAGUCUCAGGAAGGGAAAUAAAUAAGCAUUACAAGCUUCGCUCUGUGCUGCUGCCUCGCCCAGCUAUGGCGGAUGUUUACCGAAGGGAUUAAACUAAUCUUUGUCUUCUCCCUCUUAUCUGGAGCUUCAUAUCCCCUUCCUAGACGACAGUGCAGCCGUUUCACAGCUCUGUAUCACACCGGUAGUGAAUCUUCAGCCUCGCUGCGAUCAAAUAUUUAACAUCUAACUAAUAAACUGAAGGCAGACGUUAAUUCCCUGCCACUCCAUGCUUUAUCGUCUACGGAUAAAUUAUACAGCCAGAAUCCCUCCAGAAGUACAGAAAAGCAGAUUUGAGGUUGGAUUGACAGCAGUGGUCCUUCACAGGCGGUGAGUAUCUGCUCGUGUAUUACAGACUGCGGAUAAAUGGAAAAUGGUUACCUUCGGAACUGUCACUUCCUCACCUGACAUUUACUACAAAAGAUUAAGAAGAACCAUUCCUGCUGACAACAGAGGACUGAAAUCACAUGGAGCAACCGGGCUCAGCCCCACUCUGCUCCAGCCAAGGCUGUGUACCCAUACUCCAUCUCAAUGGGUAUGGUCAGCUUGCUCCAAGGGAAUAACCUCUAUCCUCUCAAAAUAACCAGGAUCACCUCUCACCAUCCAUUUGCUAAACAGGUUGUGAAAUUACCUCCCCUGACAAGGAGCACUCCAGCGGGGAUUUACACAUGCAGUCAACAGGACAGAACACUGGAAGUGAAGCACAUGGGGCACCUUUAGGUGCCGUCUUCUGUUAUCACUGACAUAUGUGACUAGUCACAGCCAACUCAGCGUGGAUCCAACAUUUGUCAUUUUUACAAGGAUUGAGUAAUGCUAAAUGUCACUGUGGGCUGGUGUGAGUGCUGUUUACAAGAACACUGGUACAAGAUACGAAGGGCCACAUUUAUGGUUGGUAUACCAAGUUGAAACUACCCAUUUCAAGACACCAGAAUGAUGCUAAAUUAAAUCAUCAGGGAAUCUGUCUUGCUGUGUCCAGGUGAAUUCUAAUAUAUUGUUUAGAAAAAAGAUCCCAAACCAAUAAAAACUGUGCAACCAAAAAUGUCUGUAUCUGUUUCUAGAAGCACACAUGCCAACUAACCCCAAGGUUUGGGACACACAAACACUGCAGCUGAACUUAGGAGGGGCCUUUAAACAUUUCAACAGAUGCCUUAGGCUCAGCAC
Molecule: long non-coding RNA, 13829 nt
Organism: Gallus gallus (chicken)
Lineage: Eukaryota; Metazoa; Chordata; Aves; Galliformes; Phasianidae
Exons: 3
Source: RefSeq, a predicted model, not a curated record